This is a long non-coding RNA of Numida meleagris (helmeted guineafowl), 1487 nucleotides long. RefSeq lists it as uncharacterized. The record is from RefSeq and is a predicted model, not a curated record. NCBI's taxonomy places the organism in Eukaryota, Metazoa, Chordata, Aves, Galliformes, Numididae. The transcript is spliced from 2 exons.
GGUGACGACAGAAGAAAGAACACAGAAACAGGCAGAGAAUGAAUGAAGACAUUCUGCUUACAAGAACCAAUAUAACAAAGAGAUUGUUAAUUUUAGACUAGAAGGCCUUCAAAACAGGGCCAUCAUUUGAAAGUAAAUCUGAAAAUACACUUCAACAGGCUUCCGUUGCAAAAGAAUAGAACAGAGUUCCUCUGCCGCAUGCAUCACACCAAGCAUACUUAUCUGUCUUGCUUUGGAUGCAAUAAUAAAGUCUGCUCUGCAGCCAAAUGCUAUAACGCAUCUUUUCUUUUUCCUUUUUUUUUUAAUAUUUUUUCCAUUAAAGAUAAAAGUUUCAAGCAAUGAAGAAUCUUUCAUUUCAUCACAGUGGAAAGAGAAUGAGCUGGUGUUAGAGAGACAAGGAAGCUCCAAACAUAUAAGGGUGGAAAAUCAACACAUAAAGCUCUAGUAUGCAUUUUUAAUGCUGUCCUGUAUUACCAAGCAUACUGCUCCUGGGUGGCUAAUCUUUCCUCAUAAUGGCUUCUACACUGCAACAAAACACUAUGGCAUCUUUUGAAGUUCUGAAGACAAGAGAGACACGUUAUGACAUCUACCACAUGCCUGUUGUGCUUCCCCUGAAAAACCAUGAAGCAGCGAACAGCAAUUGCUCUUUGAGGCAAGUCUCACACAUAAGCAGAGCCAGCCACCAAUCUCACUUCCCGUCAUCAUGCUUUGGUUUUCUUCUCUCUAGAAUGAAUUCCAAAUCACAAGUUUUCUGCCAGCACAAUCCUUGUUAAUAAAUCAUCAUCCUUCUGAUACAUCUUACAUUUCCAGUGGAGACUGGUGGCAAGCCACAAGUUUGAUUUUUGGCUAGCAUGAGAAACCUGAGGAACUCAUGGCAAGAGCUGCCAGAACAGGUCUCAGCCAACCAUUGCUCACUGCCCAGCAAGUCUUCAUGUCCACUCCAUCUACUCAGUGGGACUGGAAGUCCUAUCCUGUUCUUCCCUGGCAGUUUAAUCUUUCUUGUACCAGAGGAAGUAUGGCCCUCAAGUAAGUUGAAUGGGUCAAAGAUCACUGAACAUGGAGAGUUCAGACUCACCAGAAUAGUCGUGUUGCCCUCAAUGAACUCCACAAAAACCUGGAGAACUUGCUCCUGUGUCUUCGUAGUUUUGAAGUUUGUGUUGCAUGUUCCAUCUGCCUUCUGCACAAAAACACAAUUUAUACCACAUUUCACUCCUCUCAUCAGCCAAUCCUCUGGAACCAACAGCAGCUCAGCUCUCGCUAACCAGAUGAAAGUCCUUGCAACAGCUCUGGGUGUACCUGAUCCCCAGAAGACACUUGCCCGACUUGCUCCCUGAGGUCACACUUUUGUCAGCUCCUGCACAGCACAGCCAUCUGUUGCACUGCGCAGCCAGUGUGCCAUUUGCAGCACUCCUCACUAGAUGGGACAAUGACACAGCUAGCAGGAGAGUAACUUGGGCUGCUCAAUAAAAUAUUGCUACCAAUCUAAA